This 460-nucleotide ribosomal RNA is filed under the name uncultured bacterium. Its description in RNAcentral is "partial 16S ribosomal RNA". It matches the Rfam family "Bacterial small subunit ribosomal RNA", at positions 338 to 795 of the family's 1533-position model. The record is from RNAcentral.
CCUACGGGCGGCAGCAGUGAGGAAUAUUGGUCAAUGGACGAGAGUCUGAACCAGCCAAGUAGCGUGAAGGAUGACUGCCCUAUGGGUUGUAAACUUCUUUUAUAUGGGAAUAAAACGUUCCACGUGUGGGAUUUUGUAUGUACCAUAUGAAUAAGGAUCGGCUAACUCCGUGCCAGCAGCCGCGGUAAUACGGAGGAUCCGAGCGUUAUCCGGAUUUAUUGGGUUUAAAGGGAGCGUAGGUGGAUUGUUAAGUCAGUUGUGAAAGUUUGCGGCUCAACCGUAAAAUUGCAGUUGAAACUGGCAGUCUUGAGUACGGUAGAGGUGGGCGGAAUUCGUGGUGUAGCGGUGAAAUGCUUAGAUAUCACGAAGAACUCCGAUUGCGAAGGCAGUUCACUGGACUGCAACUGACACUGAGGCUCGAAAGUGUGGGUAUCAAACAGGAUUAGAUACCCGAGUAGUC